This 74-nucleotide transfer RNA is filed under the name Armatimonadota bacterium. RNAcentral's name for it is "Armatimonadetes bacterium (soil metagenome) tRNA-His". It matches the Rfam family "tRNA". Rfam says of the family: Transfer RNA (tRNA) molecules are approximately 80 nucleotides in length. Their secondary structure includes four short double-helical elements and three loops (D, anti-codon, and T loops). The record is from RNAcentral. Lineage: Bacteria; Bacillati; Armatimonadota.
GCGGGCGUAGCUCAUUUGGUUAGAGCGCCAGUUUGUGGCACUGGAGGUAGUGGGUUCGAUCCCCAUCGCUCGCC